This 73-nucleotide transfer RNA is filed under the name Camelus bactrianus (Bactrian camel). It matches the Rfam family "tRNA". From Rfam's summary of the family: Transfer RNA (tRNA) molecules are approximately 80 nucleotides in length. Their secondary structure includes four short double-helical elements and three loops (D, anti-codon, and T loops). The record is from Rfam by way of RNAcentral. Lineage: Eukaryota; Metazoa; Chordata; Mammalia; Artiodactyla; Camelidae. RNAcentral also lists the same sequence under 3 other names.
GAGGGUAUAGCUCAAUAGUAGAGCGUAUGCUUAGCAUGCACAAGGUCCUGGGGUUCAAGCCCCAGUACCUCCA